Molecule: ribosomal RNA, 305 nt
Filed under: uncultured bacterium
Lineage: Bacteria
Description: bacterial SSU rRNA
Rfam family: Bacterial small subunit ribosomal RNA
Source: RNAcentral
AUAUCCUACGGGAGGCAGCAGUGGGGAAUAUUGGACAAUGGGGGGAACCCUGAUCCAGCGACGCCGCGUGAGUGAAGAAGUAUUUCGGUAUGUAAAGCUCUAUCAGCAGGGAAGAAAGAAAUGACGGUACCUGAAUAAGAAGCCCCGGCUAACUACGUGCCAGCAGCCGCGGUAAUACGUAGGGGGCAAGCGUUAUCCGGAUUUACUGGGUGUAAAGGGAGCGUAGACGGCGGUGCAAGUCUGGAGUGAAAGGCGGGGGCCCAACCCCUGGACUGCUCUGGAAACUGUAGUGCUGGAGUGCAGGG